GGUGAGUAACACGUGGGUAACCUGCCCAUCAGAAGGGGAUAACACUUGGAAACAGGUGCUAAUACCGUAUAACAAUCAAAACCGCAUGGUUUUGAUUUGAAAGGCGCUUUCGGGUGUCGCUGAUGGAUGGACCCGCGGUGCAUUAGCUAGUUGGUGAGGUAACGGCUCACCAAGGCCACGAUGCAUAGCCGACCUGAGAGGGUGAUCGGCCACAUUGGGACUGAGACACGGCCCAAACUCCUACGGGAGGCAGCAGUAGGGAAUCUUCGGCAAUGGACGAAAGUCUGACCGAGCAACGCCGCGUGAGUGAAGAAGGUUUUCGGAUCGUAAAACUCUGUUGUUAGAGAAGAACAAGGAUGAGAGUAACUGUUCAUCCCUUGACGGUAUCUAACCAGAAAGCCACGGCUAACUACGUGCCAGCAGCCGCGGUAAUACGUAGGUGGCAAGCGUUGUCCGGAUUUAUUGGGCGUAAAGCGAGCGCAGGCGGUUUCUUAAGUCUGAUGUG
This 505-nucleotide ribosomal RNA is filed under the name Enterococcus durans. RNAcentral's name for it is "bacterial SSU rRNA". It matches the Rfam family "Bacterial small subunit ribosomal RNA", at positions 105 to 596 of the family's 1533-position model. Lineage: Bacteria; Bacillati; Bacillota; Bacilli; Lactobacillales; Enterococcaceae. The record is from RNAcentral.